GUGCAGGCCUGCAUUAGUGAAUCAGAUCCUGCAUUUAGGUGGCUGCAGUGUGGUAUAGCAGAGCCCUAGCACAUUCUACCAGUGCACUGUAGAAAUAUUAACCCUUCCUGAGUGGAAGUCACAGCAGCCAGAGGAUGGACCCUGCUGACUACUGCGAAAUGCAGAAUCAUGCACAUUGAUUGCAGGACAGAUGAGCCGGGCAUUCACCGUUCACUUUUAACAAGGACACUACUAUUAGACGGUCAUUUACAAGCAUGAAACAUACAGGCCUCAGGAUGUGGAGGACACGGUCCUGCCUUUGUCACGAAUGGCGCCUGGAUUCCCAUUUGCCAUGUUGGUGGCUACAUCAGAGCCAGAGCAGCUGGGCUCAUUAAUAAAAUGGAGAUGUUGACAUGAAGGAUCCAGAAGCAGCAGCAGGAGGUGGAGCAAGUGGCUGUUGGACAGAUCUACCUACCUGCCUGGUUCACUAGCUCCAAGUCAAGCAGAGUGGGUCUCGCUGGAACACUUGGUCCCAAAUCAGAGUUCACACAACCUGGGCCAAUCUAUUUGCAUCAAAGAACAACCAAGCUUCCACUCAUCCCACAGGCUUCCGCAGAGUGAUUCGAAGUUAAGGCCAGUUAGGUGGUAGAGUUGCACCUGCCAUAGACUGGUUGUCUCUCCACACAGGUUGCUGAUGAGACAAGACUGCCCUGAGCUUCUGACACUCUCUGUGGGGCAUUCCUCCUUCAGGUUUCUCUCUGGCUUUCAAAGGAUCAUCACUUGGUACCACAUGUCCCGGAGGCUGAGUGUUUGUGCUGCUCAGGGACCAGUGAUUCCUGCCAGGCUUGGAGUUUGGGUUUGCUUCAGGUGGAUUCCAAGAUUUCUGCAAACAUCUCAUCUCGCAUCCUCUUUUUCCGACGCCUUAUCUGAGAUAGCCUUUGGGACGGAGGAGGGAGGCUUGAAAAAUUUGCAGCUGCUGGAGGAAGGGAAAAAAGGAGAAUUUUUUAAAAAGAUACAUUUUACAGAACAAUGCUUAUCCUCUUUCAUGGUGAACAACACUAUUCACGUUACAUAGCACAUGUGAUUUCUGUGCAAGGUCGCAUUUUGCCUCUUAAUAUUGAGUGCCUGUGGCUUUGCUGCUAGAGAUCACAGACGCAGGUCCAGGCAACAGAAUUCGGCUUGCAUGCGGCCAUGGUAAGCCAUUGUCUUUUGGCUUCUGAGCCCUCUUUCUCACAUACCAAGCAAAGCUCGUUGAAUGCUGUGGUUUUCCUGUUAACCUUCAGCAGCAGAAAACAAACUAACCC
Malaclemys terrapin pileata is the source of this 1283-nucleotide long non-coding RNA. RefSeq lists it as uncharacterized. Lineage: Eukaryota; Metazoa; Chordata; Testudines; Emydidae. The transcript is spliced from 3 exons. The record is from RefSeq and is a predicted model, not a curated record.